RNAcentral lists this microRNA precursor (158 nucleotides) under Picea abies (Norway spruce). Its description in RNAcentral is "miR11481a stem-loop (pab-MIR11481a)". Lineage: Eukaryota; Viridiplantae; Streptophyta; Pinopsida; Pinales; Pinaceae. The record is from miRBase by way of RNAcentral.
GCAGCCCGUCAGCUGUGAGCUUCGAUCGUCUCGAUGCGCUUGGACUCCCGCAGUUCCCACACCUUCGCGCUUUUAUACCACGAUCGGGCCGUGGAAAGUGUGGGACCUGGUGGAGUCCAAGUGCAUCGAGACGGUCGGAAGCUCACAGCUGAGGCCGU